GCGCUAAGAAUUCUCGAGAAAAGAUCCCCACCAUCGAGGUAGAAACUGGAAAGCACUCGAUUUUUUACAGAAACCUUGAAUUGCCAAUGAGUUCACAACUCUCUCAGGCCUUUCAACAUCCUUGCUCAUUACCAGCCUCCUUUUCCUCAUGUGCCCACGAUGGAACAGGAUGAUGGGAUCGUGGCCUUUUCAGCUUCCUUUCAAGACCUUCACUAUAAAUGCGGAAAUGGGAAGGCGUUCUUCUCAAGCAGUAUUCGAUCGGUCGAUAAUACAAAGAGAGAGAAGAGACCCGCAGUGCUUUGUUUAAUCUUGACUGCCAACUAAAUUUGAGGAGAGAAGGAGAAAUCCGUCUUGGUCUGUAGAAGAAAUGGUGGGAAUCUUCUCCAGGUUUUCUUCGGGAAGAGGAAGCCACCGAAGGACUAGAUCUUCUAUGGACGAGGUAGAGACUGUGCUCCCAGACUCCGAGAUCAAUUCUGAUGUUGCUUUGGUCAUACCCCAUGAAGUUGAAACAGUAGGUGAUUUUAAGCCAAUUGAACAUCCCACUGAACCACCUGAUAGUGAUCACCCAGUGACAUGUCCAGCUCCAGAGCCAUCAAUAUCAAAUGACGGGAAAAUGUGGAAAGAAAGGAUUGCUGGAAACUCACGGAGGCAAUCAGAUGUGUCUGUCCUCAAGGAUGAAGAAACACAAGGCCCACCUGAAAUUGCAGUUAUCAAGUAUGCUUCUCCUGCAUCUAUGCCUGUACGACUACCAGUAGGUGUUCCUGAUAAACAGAAACGUGAAACUUCUGAAGAAGUGUAAUUCCCACAGAAGAUGACAUCAAAAAAUCUUCGCAGGUUUUCUGCUAUGUGUGGCAGGAGUCCGGCGCAUGCUGUGCAUGGUAACAAUAAAGAACACUUCAAGUUGAAGAUGAAGAGUCUGAUAUUCCAGUCAAGUCUCGGAGGGUGUGAAAUCUGAGACUGAUAUGAAAUCUACAGCCCACUGUAAUCAAACAUUGGAUUUAUAAACCUAGAUUGAGGUGUGUUUGUUUUACAGCGGAUUUGAUAUAUGAGUGAUCUGAUCUGCAGCUUUGAGGUCGGACCCACCCCGUCAAAUCUGAUUUUUACAUGUAAUGUGGAUUUAAGAUUCAUUU
RNA transcript from Nymphaea colorata (pocket water lily), 1130 nucleotides. RefSeq lists it as uncharacterized. The transcript has 4 exons. NCBI's taxonomy places the organism in Eukaryota, Viridiplantae, Streptophyta, Magnoliopsida, Nymphaeales, Nymphaeaceae. The record is from RefSeq and is a predicted model, not a curated record.